This 274-nucleotide ribosomal RNA is filed under the name uncultured bacterium. RNAcentral describes it as "partial 16S ribosomal RNA". It matches the Rfam family "Archaeal small subunit ribosomal RNA", at positions 473 to 747 of the family's 1478-position model. The record is from RNAcentral.
AAACCAGCUCUUCAAGUGGUCGGGAUAAUUAUAGGGCUUAAAGUGUCCGUAGCCGGUUUAGUAAGUUCCUGGUAAAAUCGGGUAGCUUAACUAUCCGUAUGCUAGGAAUACUGCUAUACUAGAGGGCGGGAGAGGUCUGAGGUACUACAGGGGUAGGGGUGAAAUCUUAUAAUCCUUGUAGGACCACCAGUGGCGAAGGCGUCAGACUGGAACGCGCCUGACGGUGAGGGACGAAAGCCAGGGGAGCGAACCGGAUUAGAUACCCGAGUAGUCC